GGAGGCGAGGGCAAUCUGGCUGCAGGAUCUGCCAUGCCAUUGACUGCCAGGGUAGAAUGGACCGAUCUGGCUUGCGAGGUGGGCGUCCUCUUCCUUUCUCACUGCUCUCUGUGCAUCCCUCCCAAAGCUGCGCAUUUGGUUGGAUGAGGACAUAGGACCAGUCUUCUGUUGAGGGUACAGGAGUAGCUGUGAUCUCCCGCUAGAACCUCCCAAUAAGCUCUCAAGGGCCCUGUCUCCAGUGACUCUCAGAGUUAAGCUUCAACAUUUGUAUUGUGGGUAACAAGGUUUAACAGGGGCCAACGAUAGAAAUCCUGCAUUUGGUAGUAUCUUC
This 331-nucleotide small nuclear RNA is filed under the name Mesocricetus auratus (golden hamster). Its description in RNAcentral is "7SK RNA". It matches the Rfam family "7SK RNA". From Rfam's summary of the family: 7SK was discovered as an abundant small nuclear RNA in the mid-70s but a possible function has only recently been suggested. Two independent studies have found that 7SK RNA binds the CDK9/cyclin T complex (known as elongation factor P-TEFb). Lineage: Eukaryota; Metazoa; Chordata; Mammalia; Rodentia; Cricetidae. The record is from Rfam by way of RNAcentral.